GAGGCCGAGGCUGAGGCCAAGGCUGCCUUCCGCUCCCAAAAGCCCUGUUCUCAAAUCCCUUGGGUCCCGGAUGCACGUAUAGGCCCAGCCACCCUCCCUGCCUCAGAGCUGACAACAGCGCCUCCAUCAGCAAGCUCAGUAGCAGCCUGCCAACCCGGGGAGGGUCUGCGUGCCUCGAGCCUCCAUCCUGGAAAGACUUUCUGAGCAUCAAUAAGAGAAGGGCCUGCAGCCAGGGCAGGAAAAUUCACUAGCAAGAUGAAUAAUCCCAGAAAAUAAAAUGGACUGAUUGUUCGGCACGUGAGAAAGGCCUUAAGAUCACUCACAGUAGGGCAGCCCGGGUGGCUCAGCAGUUUGGCACCUGCCUUCAGCCCAGUGCAUGAUCCUGGAGACCCGGGAUCGAGUCCCACAUCAGGCUCUCUGUAUGGGGCCUGCUUCUCCGUCUGCCUGUGUCUCUGCCUCUCUCUCUCCCUGUGCCUCUCAUGAAUAAAUAAAUAAAAUUAAAAAAAAAAAAAAGAAUCACUCAGAGUUGCACAGAUUUCUGGGCACCAGAGAGAACGGAAGCCGCCUGGGCCCGCCUGCCCCUGCCGCCCGGCCACCAGAAUCCACGCAGAACAAGAAGGAGAACAAACAAAACCGCGCAAAAGCCACUCCCGGGCGCGAUCAGACCCCAAGGAACGCCGGGCUUCAACACCACUGCACGUGAGGAAGGAACAGACGAAAGGGAGGACAUCCCAGCGGGCGGCUGCUCACACGCUUUGCAGAGAAAAGUAGAGCCACUUGAGGAAAGCAGCCUUGGCGACCCCAUCGAGAGGGGCCUGUAAACCGCCCGAAGCCACAGCAUCGUCGGAAAGAAGUUACGUCUCUUCUAAGCCACCACCGAAACCAGCAUGUGAGGGGCGCCCGGGCGGCUCAGCGGUGGAGCAUCUGCCUUCGGCCCAGGGUGUGACCCCGGGGUCCUGGGAUCGAGUCCUGCGUCGGGCUCCCUACAUGCAGCCUGCCUCUCCCUCUGCCUGCGUCUCUGCCUCUCUCUGUGUCUCUCAUGAAUAAAUAAAUAAAAUCUUUUAAAAAAGAAAAAACA
Molecule: long non-coding RNA, 1078 nt
Filed under: Canis lupus dingo (dingo)
Lineage: Eukaryota; Metazoa; Chordata; Mammalia; Carnivora; Canidae
Description: lncRNA (ENSCAFG00020008502.1)
Source: RNAcentral